UAUGUAGGGGGCAAGCGUUGUCCGGAUUUAUUGGGCGUAAAGAGCGUGUAGGCGGCUAGGUAGGUCCGUUGUGAAAACUCGAGGCUCAACCUCGAGACGUCGAUGGAAACCAUCUAGCUAGAGUCCGGAAGAGGAGAGUGGAAUUCCUGGUGUAGCGGUGAAAUGCGCAGAUAUCAGGAAGAACACCCGUGGCGAAGGCGGCUCUCUGGGCCGAUACUGACGCUGAGGAGCGAAAGCAUGGGGAGCGAACAGG
RNAcentral lists this ribosomal RNA (253 nucleotides) under uncultured bacterium. Its description in RNAcentral is "partial 16S ribosomal RNA". It matches the Rfam family "Bacterial small subunit ribosomal RNA", at positions 524 to 776 of the family's 1533-position model. The record is from RNAcentral.